AGCUAAUACUUGCUUUAGCACUCUUGAUUAAGUUCUUGAGUGUGUACUUGUUAAGCCUUUUAAGAAAAAAGUUAUUAACUUAAGGAAUUAUAACAAAGAAGCAACACGUAAAUGGAUUUUCCAUUUUUUAGUGUGUAUCAAUCGAGUUUCUGACCUAUCAGCUUUUGAUGUUAGGGUAUUGGCCUAACAUGGCUAUGACGGGUAACGGGGAAUUAGAGUUCGAUUCCGGAGAGGGAGCCUGAGAAAUAGCUACCACAUCUAAGGAAGGCAGCAGGCGCGUAAAUUACCCAAUUCUAAAGAAGAGAGGUAGUGACAAGAAAUAACAAUACAAGGCCAAUCUGGCUUUGUAAUUGGAAUGAUGGGAAUUUAAAACCUUCCCAAAACUCAAUUGGAGGGCAAGUCUGGUGCCAGCAGCCGCGGUAAUUCCAGCUCCAAUAGCGUAUAUUAAAAUUGUUGCAGUUAAAACGCUCGUAGUUGAAUUUCAAAGAAUCGAUAUUUUAAGUAGCACUUUGUAGAUUAAUCCACAUAACUGAUACUACGUAUCGACUUUGUGCGCAUUUUUCUACUUAUGUGUUCUUUUAAUUAAAAUGAUUCUUUUUAAGAUCUUUCUUUUUUGCUUCGGCAUUUUAGGAGAUCUUGUUACUUUGAGUAAAUUAGAGUGUUCAAAGCAAACAGAUUAGAGCAUCUUUAUGCGUUUGAAUACUACAGCAUGGAAUAACAAAAUUGAACAAGUCAGAAUUUUGUUCUUUUUUCUUAUUUUGGCUUAGUUACGAUUAAUAGGAGUAGCUUGGGGGCAUUUGUAUUCAGAUGUCAGAGGUGAAAUUCUUAGAUUUUCUGGAGACAAACAACUGCGAAAGCAUUUGCCUAAAAUACUUCCAUUAAUCAAGAACGAAAGUUAAGGGAGUGAAGACGAUCAGAUACCGUCGUAAUCUUAACCAUAAACUAUGCCGACUAGGCUUUGGAUGAAAGAUUUUAAAAUAAGAGUUUUUUCUCU
This 994-nucleotide ribosomal RNA is filed under the name Plasmodium inui. RNAcentral describes it as "SSU rRNA". It matches the Rfam family "Eukaryotic small subunit ribosomal RNA", at positions 162 to 1081 of the family's 1831-position model. The record is from RNAcentral. Lineage: Eukaryota; Apicomplexa; Aconoidasida; Haemosporida; Plasmodiidae.